RNAcentral lists this ribosomal RNA (322 nucleotides) under uncultured Cercozoa. Its description in RNAcentral is "SSU rRNA". The stretch from base 112 to 322 matches the Rfam family "Eukaryotic small subunit ribosomal RNA", at positions 744 to 955 of the family's 1831-position model. The record is from RNAcentral. Lineage: Eukaryota; Cercozoa.
GAUUUCUGGCUUGAUACAUUUUGCCGGCCACGGUUUCGUGUGUUAGUGCAUUAUGUUCUGGCCAUCCUUCCAAUUGCUACUUACUUUUCUUCAUUGAUUUGUAAGUGGUAUUGGAUCUUUUACUUUGAAAAAAUUAGAGUGUUUCAAGCAGGCUUUAUGCUAUGAAUACAUUAGCAUGGAAUAAUAAUUUAGGACUUCGGUUCUAUUUUGUUGGUUUCCAGGACUGAAGUAAUGAUUGAUAGGGAUAGUUGGGGGUGCUAGUAUUCAGCGGCCAGAGGUGAAAUUCUCGGAUUCGCUGAAGACUAACUUAUGCGAAAGCAUU